This 292-nucleotide unclassified non-coding RNA is filed under the name Hyaloscypha sp. RNAcentral describes it as "partial contains 5.8S ribosomal RNA, internal transcribed spacer 2, and large subunit ribosomal RNA". The stretch from base 1 to 52 matches the Rfam family "5.8S ribosomal RNA", at positions 103 to 154 of the family's 154-position model. Lineage: Eukaryota; Fungi; Ascomycota; Leotiomycetes; Helotiales; Hyaloscyphaceae. The record is from RNAcentral.
AACGCACCUUGCACUCCUUGGUAUUCCGAGGAGUAUGCCUGUUUGAGUGUCAUUAAAUUCUCAAACCUCACUGGCUUUAUUGACAGUGAGGCUUUGGAUGUGGGGGCUGCUGGACUCUAACGAGAUCAGCUCUCCUUAAAUGCAUUAGUGGUUACUGUUUUCCACUACCAGGUGUGAUAAUAUCUACGCCUCGGUGGAAAUGUUAAGUGUAGCUGCUUUCUAACCGUCCAUGCAAUGUGGACAACUUGAAACAUUUGACCUCAAAUCAGGUAGGACUACCCGCUGAACUUAA